Molecule: RNA transcript, 2590 nt
Organism: Salvelinus sp. IW2-2015
Lineage: Eukaryota; Metazoa; Chordata; Actinopteri; Salmoniformes; Salmonidae
Gene name: serine incorporator 1
Source: RefSeq, a predicted model, not a curated record
CGCCCUGUUGCUGCUUGGCUCGCGUCGGAGGAAACUACAAAUUUUAGUAAACAACUUUUCCAAGUUUGAAGUCUUACACUUCUUGACUUUUGGGUGUUUUCUACGUUUACUUAAGACGGGGAUUUUCGUUCUAAACUAAAAUGGGAGCGUGUAUGGCAUUGUGUUCAAUCGCCAGCUGUGCAUCGUGUCUGUGUGGCUCUGCUCCCUGUCUGUUGUCAGGAUGCUGUCCCUCCACCUAUAACUCCACUGUGUCCCGGCUGGCCUUCUCCUUCCUGCUGCUGCUGGGGACCCUGGUCUCUGUCAUCAUGAUCCUACCUGGCAUGGAGACUCAGCUCAAGAAGAUACCAGGGUUCUGUGUGGGCGGAACCUCCAUACCCAUGCCAGGCAUCGAGAACAAGGUGAACUGUGAUGUCAUCGUGGGCUACAAGUCUGUGUAUCGCAUGUGCUUUGCCAUGGCCUGCUUCUUUUUCCUGUUCUCCAUCAUCAUGAUCCGCGUUCGCAGCAGCAAGGACCCCCGAGCUUCCCUACAGAACGGAUUCUGGUUCUUCAAGUUCCUCGUACUGGUGGGGAUAACUGUAGGAGCCUUCUUCAUUCCAGACGGGACAUUCAACACAGUGUGGUUCUACUGUGGCAUGGUGGGUUCCUUCUUCUUUAUCAUCAUCCAGCUGAUCCUGCUUGUGGACUUUGCUCACACCUGGAACCAGUCCUGGCUGGAGAACGCUGAGGAGGGAAAUGGCAAGUGCUGGUUCUCAGCUCUCCUGUCCUUCACGGUGCUGCACUAUGUCCUGGCCUUCUCUGCUGUGGUGGUGUUCUAUGUCUAUUACACCACAGGAGACGACUGCACUGAACACAAGGUCUUCAUCAGCCUCAACUUCAUCUUCUGCAUCAUCGUCUCCAUAGUUGCCAUCCUGCCCAAAGUUCAGGAGUCCCAGCCCAGCUCAGGCCUGCUCCAAGCGUCCUUCAUCUCCCUCUACACCAUGUAUGUCACAUGGUCCGCCAUGACCAACAACCCCAACCGUAAGUGUAACCCCAGCCUGCUGAGUCUGGUACACAACACCUCCACCCCUAUACCUACACCUGCCCCAGGGCAAGGGGUCCAGUGGUGGGAUGCACAGGGCAUCAUAGGACUGGUCAUCUUCCUCUUCUGCACUCUCUACGCCAGCAUCCGUUCGUCCAACAACACCCAGGUGAACAGGCUGAUGCAGACAGAGGAGGGCCAGGGUCUGGCUGCAGAAGACCACGAGGCGGCCACGGGGGAGGACGGGGUCAGACGGGCCGUGGACAACGAGGAAGAGGGGGUCACCUACUCUUACGCCUUCUUCCACUUCAGCCUGUGCCUGGCCUCCCUCUACAUCAUGAUGACACUCACAAACUGGUACCAACCUGAUGCAGACUACCAGGCCAUGCAGAGCUGUAUGCCAGCUGUGUGGGUGAAGAUUGUCUCUAGCUGGAUAGGCCUGGCUCUCUACCUCUGGACCCUGGUAGCUCCUCUCAUCCUCUCUAACCGAGACUUCAACUAAAGACAUACAUUCCAUCCAGGGCUAAGUCCCAAAUGGCACCCCUGGUCCCAAGUAGAAAGAGGGACAUUCCAGCACCUGAGAAGUUGAGGAAACAGGCCAAAGACAUGUCAUCACAUGAUGUCAUCAGUCCGAGCCAACAGGGAUUCCAGAACCUCCCAUCCCCUCUGGCUUCAUUCAUCACCCUGAUCACAUGACCAUGAUCACACUCCAACAGGAUUAUUCUUAUUUCCUUGUGACGCAGGAUUACCCAUGCAGCCACACCACACGCUCUCUCGAUGAGGGAAUGUGAUUUCCCCAUCACAAGAUUGGCAUGAGGAGGGGUUGAACACAAGACCAACAUUAUUCAUUGAGGACCAAAUGGGUUCAGCUGGGGUAGAGAAGGAGCACAGAGAGAUGGGUCUGUAGUUAGUCCAUGAAUUCAGCCUCAAAUCAAAUCACCGCAAUCAGAACGUUUGAGUUUACGCAGAGCAGAAUUACGCCCGGACACACACUGAAGUAAUGUAUACCUAGUGGGAAAUAAAGUGAGUGCUAUGCCAUAUUAAUUUCAGCUGACUGCUUUAUGGUAGUCAAUGUUAGUUGAAUUAACAUGCUUUCUUUCAUUCAAUCACUUUGAGACCCUUCCUUUUGCUCUUUUACAGAAAAUAAUCUACUGUAUAUAUCUGAGUAUUUUUCAAUCCUGUACACUAGUAGUUCUGAUCUUGGUGAGUGGGUGACCUUGUUAGUGUGAUGACCCUGGGUCUCUGUGACAGACCGUUCGAUAGUGGUGGAGUCCCCUUCACAGCAGGCAUUUAGACCUAGUCUACAUAAUGCUGUUAUAUAACGGCCUGGUUGGGGGAACCCAUCAUGCUAUGACUCUGUCUGGGGCCUCCACUGUGGUGCGGUAGAGGAGAGAAUACGGAAAAGAUUGGCUGCAUUAGCCGGUUUGGAUCAUGCUCUCACUGGGGAUGAGGACUGCCACUGUGCAUCUGGAUACCUCUGUAGGUUGAGGUGAACACACAGGUAGAGGGAAAAUGUAUGUUCUAGAGCAGGGCUCUCCAACCCUGUUCCUGGAGAGCUACCUUCCUGUAGGU